RNAcentral lists this long non-coding RNA (282 nucleotides) under Nicotiana benthamiana. RNAcentral's name for it is "long non-coding RNA (NBEN_LNC015945)". The record is from RNAcentral. Lineage: Eukaryota; Viridiplantae; Streptophyta; Magnoliopsida; Solanales; Solanaceae.
CUUUCUUCUAUAUCAUCUAGAUCAUCUAGGGCACGAACGGUAUAUUCUUAGUUGUUUUCCCCAGUCUUAGCCUAAGUAUUGUUAGUGGAGUUACCUGGCCAUUCUUCCGGCCUGUAUGGUAUCAACUAAAUAGAAUGAGUUUCCUCCGAAAACUGAGGAAUUGAUUAGACAAAUUGAAGUCUAAAUCUUAGUAGCACAAAUUACACUCUCAAGAUUAGUAACCCAGUUCAGGAUUUUAAUCUCUACAUACGUAAUUUAAACAACUGUGAAUAAGUCCUAUCC